CGGAGUAUAGCGCAGCCUGGUAGCGCACCUGCUUCGGGAGCAGGGGGUCGCGUGUUCGAAUCACGCUACUCCGACCA
Molecule: transfer RNA, 77 nt
Filed under: Devosia ginsengisoli
Lineage: Bacteria; Pseudomonadati; Pseudomonadota; Alphaproteobacteria; Hyphomicrobiales; Devosiaceae
Also listed under: 21 other names
Description: tRNA-Pro
Rfam family: tRNA
About the family: Transfer RNA (tRNA) molecules are approximately 80 nucleotides in length. Their secondary structure includes four short double-helical elements and three loops (D, anti-codon, and T loops).
Source: RNAcentral